UGUGUCAUAUAAUGUUGGUCACACAAUACAACAGAACCUGAAUUUAUCUCUCCAAUAGUUGGAUCUCUGUCACUGCUCUGGGUGGAUUCUUUACCGACUGAACUACGAGGGAAGCUCUAGGCGGUCUGAGAAUGAGAGAGAAGAUGAAAGAAGGUAAGGGGUAACUAGCAACUUUCUAAUAGUUGGCAUUCUCUCUGGAAGGAGGAUUAUCAGGCAAAAGUCUCCAGAUC
This 230-nucleotide long non-coding RNA is filed under the name Bos grunniens (domestic yak). RNAcentral describes it as "lncRNA (ENSBGRG00000004357.1)". The record is from RNAcentral. Lineage: Eukaryota; Metazoa; Chordata; Mammalia; Artiodactyla; Bovidae.